Long non-coding RNA from Oryzias melastigma (Indian medaka), 196 nucleotides. RefSeq lists it as uncharacterized. The transcript is spliced from 3 exons. NCBI's taxonomy places the organism in Eukaryota, Metazoa, Chordata, Actinopteri, Beloniformes, Adrianichthyidae. The record is from RefSeq and is a predicted model, not a curated record.
CUCCACUCGCUGGAAGUCUUGGUGUGACUUGAGGGCUCCAGAACAAGCUCCCUUUCCCCUGAAACACGGUGACAGCCUGUCCGCCUUCCAGAAGCUGCUGCCACUGCGAUGUUUACGUGCUGACCGACUCUACAGAGCUGUGGCCGACUAUGUUACUGUCAUCAUGGGCAACGCAUUUGUGCACCCCCCUUUGACC